UUUGGAAUGUGAGGAAUAAAUGAUAAACAGUGCAAAUUAACAGAUGAAAUGAAAGAAAAAUAAAUACAUAUGGUGAUAGUCUGUGAAACUAAGAGAAAAAUGUAAGAGAUCUGAAUGAAAUUUUUGUGGAGUAGAUGAUUACAUGUACAAUAAUAAUACAAAUAUAUAGUAAUUUAUUAAAUCUAUAUGCCACCUGAUUCUAAGAGACUCUGAAUAAAGGUAUUAAUAAUGGAUAAAAAGGCUCAAUUUAUGUCAAAUUAAAAAGUGGUGUCAAUUAAGUUAUUGUAAAUGUGGAUGAAACUAGGAAUUCAUAGAUUGAUGAUAGGGUGCCCCAGUGAAUGGAGACAGUGUAAUAGUACAACCAAAGAAGUCUUUGGGAAUAUAUUUUAAAACUUUCUAAAUUAUUACAGUUGAAAUGAAGAAAGUUAUUGUGUUAGAUGAAAUGACUAGAUGGGUUGAACAUGAUGAGAAGAUAAGAACAAAGGGUAUGGCUGCCUUAAAGCCCUUAGAAUGAAUGAGGAUGGAGACUGUUGAGUAAGCAUAUACAUAAAGUAAGAUCUGUGUGAAAAUAUGGUUAACGUACAC
Notechis scutatus (mainland tiger snake) is the source of this 585-nucleotide non-coding RNA. The record is from RefSeq and is a predicted model, not a curated record. Lineage: Eukaryota; Metazoa; Chordata; Lepidosauria; Squamata; Elapidae.